Mytilus californianus (California mussel) is the source of this 4990-nucleotide long non-coding RNA. RefSeq lists it as uncharacterized. NCBI's taxonomy places the organism in Eukaryota, Metazoa, Mollusca, Bivalvia, Mytilida, Mytilidae. The record is from RefSeq and is a predicted model, not a curated record. The transcript is spliced from 2 exons.
UCGGUGUACUUAUACAGGCUUAAUAUAUUCACCAGAAAAUAAUGUCUCAAGGAUGCUGCACACACAGAGGAGUUUUGUUUAGAUAACAUGUUUUCACGUGCAGAGAAAUUUCACUUAUGACCAGUGCAUGAUUGGAUUACAUCUUUCUUAUUGGUCACUGAUCUUUCGGGGUCAGCACGAGUUCACGUGUAAGUGCGUUUUGGUCACUUCCUUUUAUCAUCAGCAUUUGAUGUGUUAACUUGUGAUUCUUAUCAAACAAUUUUAUGGAUAAUUUUGGACUGGAGUGAUUUCCUUUUAGCAAUUUGAGGUAAAAUCGAACUUAACUUUUAUUUUUUAGCUAUUUUAUGCUUACAUUCUGAACAAACGUACAGUUAAUUUUUUUACCAUUCUUCCAUUCGGAUAGAUCUCACAAUUUUGAUUUAUUAAUUAAUUUGGGUGUUGGUGGCGACACUGUGCGUUUGCGAUCAAAAUGUAAUUAUUUACCAUACUUGUAAAAAAUGAUAGCUGAUGAUUAACCCAAUGUUGUAAUUUUACAAGUUACUGAAUCCUUGAUAGCAUCCUAAUGUUUGCAGAACGUAUAUCCGCCUUGUGUAUCUGUAGGAGACAUGGUUCAUUUAAAUUUAACUACAAAUACAAAAAUGUUUGCAUAACGAUAAUGAUACCAUACAUGAUAGAAUGCAAAGUUACACACUUAUAGACGAUGUUAUUCACGAUUCCAUACAUUUAAACACUCUCAUAUGAAAGAGCAAGACAGUUUAAUUUUAAGGCUAUGCUAAUAUUUAUUGUGCUACAAACCCAUUUGCCUUACUUGUUUGGGUAAGGUGGACGAUAUUUCAAAUUGUGCAGAGAGCUUGGAUGCUUGUACUUAUGACCUCUGUGUAUUUCCAUUUGCAAUUAUGUUUUAUUUAGUGUUCAUUGUUUUAUGCUAUGUCACGAAACUCAUGCUACUUUCGUAAAUCUCGUCACGGUGGUUUGUUUGGAGCUGAUAAUUUUGCAAGUCAGCCUAAUCGCUAUAAUUGUUAGUAUUUUAAUGUAUGCAGGUGUACCUUGUUUGCUUAAUGUUAACGGUAUAAAAAGGAUAUGUCUCUUACCUAUAUCGCAACCCAAUGCUUAUUUAUUACGAACCAAUUUACCUGUCUUUGCCUGUUUGGGUAAUGUGGACGAUAUUUUAAUUUUUGCAGAGGGCGAGGUUGCUUGUACUUAUGCCCUCUGUGUAUUGUUUUUGCAGAGGUCUAGUAGCUUGGUCUACGACCUCUGUGUAUUUACUUUUGCAAAUAUGUUAUUAUGUAGUAGGUAUUGUUUUAUGCUUCGUCAUGAAACUCAUGCUACUUUUGCAGAGGUCGUAGUAGCUUGGUCUAUGACCUCUGUGUAUUUGCUUUUGUAAAUAUGUUAGUAUGUAGUGGGUAUUGUUUUAUUCUUCGUCAUGAAACUUAUGCUACUUUUUUGCAGAUGUCGUAGUAGCUUGGUCUAUGAUCUCUGUAUUGUUUUAUGCUUCGUCAUGAAACUCAUGCUACUUUUAAUUAUUAUUUCGUCAUGAUGAUUGGUUUGGAAUAAAUUAUUUUUGUAAUCAAUCUUUUUGCUACUUACAAAAUUGCCAGUAUUUUGAGACAUGUAGCUAGAUUCACAUGUUUGUCAGUUUAUAAUACAUGUUUUUAAUGUAUUAUUUUAUUAUAAUUAUGUUUACUAGUAUAACUCAUGUACAUGAUAUAGUUUGGGUUGCGAUGAACGUAAUUGAUAAAUUUUAUGCCAAUACUGUAAGGUGGUUUGCUUUUACUUUAUACUAGAUUUAUUAUUAAAAAUAACAAUGGACAAGACAUACUUAUAAUAUUUCAAAGUUCAUACUCUUCAUUUAAUACAUAAUAUAUAAAAAUCAUGUCUGUUUAAUGGUUGAUUAUUGAAGAAGAAGAAACUAUGAUAAUUAAAUCAUCGCAUACUAUUCCUUAAUAUGCGUUAUGUUUGUGGUCCAAGAGUAAGAUCAAGUUUGUUUUUUAAUGAGAAUUUAAGUUUUUCCAUUCUUUUACAUUCUAAUUUUGUUUAUUUCAUGCUUUAACUAUGGACAAAGAGCACUGAGUCUGGCAUUGAUCUACGAAAGAACGUUUUCCCAUUGAAUGAAAUGUGCAAUAAAGCGUGAUAUCAACAACUUACAUAUACUUUCAUAUAUCAGCGGUAUGCCAUAGUUCCGAUAAUACAAACAUACGAAUUUUGAUGGGUUGCUGUUUCACUGACCUUACUUAAUGACACAUACCUAAUUUCGAGAUUAGAAUUUUGAUCCAGACGUGCGAGUCAUAUCAACAAGAAUCAUUGACUUACCAAAGCCUACUUUGACUGUUUUAUGAAUACAAAUUUACAAAAUUCGACUUCGAUCAGCAUUUGGAUACACAACUGGACCCUAGUUCCAAUGAAAGUCUAAAGCACCAAUUGCUAUUAUUCAACCAUCUCUGUAAAGUUUGCUAUGUCGUUAAUUGUCUUGGACUCUCAUAACUAUACAGCUCUUAGUUUUAGAAGAAGGAAAAAGCAAAGACUUCUGCUGCAGUUCAUGGAUGGAAUUUUCCUAUCCGUGAUUCAAGGAUUGAAGUCAAAUGCGUUUAUGGAAUUUUACAGCAUAAAAAGAAUUAAGUUAGUAACAGAACUUUAUGUUUCAGCUGUUUCGGGUCAGUAUUGCCUGAAAAAACGUUUAUGAUCUUUAUUUCAUACAUUUACAACUAUCUUGUUUUGGGUCAGCAUUGCCUGCCAAAACGGUUUAUAUGAUUUUUAGUAAUAAAAUGCUAUGCUUCUGUUCUGGGUCAGCAUUACCUGCCAAAACGUUUUAUGAUCUUUAUUUCAUAUAAUUGCAAAUGUCUUGUUUUGGUCAGCAUUGUCUGCCAACACGUUUACUAGUAUAUGAUCUUUAGUAAUAAAAUGCUAUGCUUGUUUUGCGUCAGUAUUGCCAGCAAAACGUUUAUGAUCUUUAUUUCAUACGAUUGGGGUCUAUAUUGCCUGCCCUCCUGACGAUGCUGUCUUUACACAUUAUUCAGACUGUCAAUGUGGACAUUUGAUAGGCUACCAUUAAAUCGUGUUUUUAAAUUUUAUGGCUCGGUUUAACCUCCUGUACGCAUACAUGGAUUGUUCGCAAAUCAUGUUAUGGUUUUCAAUAGAAAAAUCAAAUUCCCGAUUUAUAUUAAGUAUAUUUGAAGUGUACAUUAAAAGUCCCCAAGCUUAUCAGUGUUGGAUAAGUAAGUUUGGUGGAUUCCCGUUAUUUUUAUAGUGGUAUUAUCGAUAUAAAUUAUUACUAUUAAUAUUGAAUGGUGGUAUUCACUAGUCAUUAAAUUUCUAAAAAGCUUAACUUUUUACCGACUCAUGAGUUACGCAAAAUAUUUCUAAAAUCUCAUAUCAAUAAUAACAAAAAUAACUGUGAGUUAAAAAAGUCUACAUUAGAUAUUUAUUUACUAAUUUCAAUUUAAAAACUCUUUCCUUAAGAAAUUUAAUAAAUCUAUGAUCUUUAUACAAUUUUGAUUGAAAAAUGUCAAAUGUAGUAUGAGAAUCAGUUGAUCAUGAUCCCAUAUAGAAAUAGUCAGAUAUAAAACUUCGUAUUUAGAAAGGAUCCAGGGCUUCGUAAAAAUGUACUUCUAUUUUGUUUGAAGAUUUAAGAUUAAAGAUAAAGUUUCGGUUAAUUAAUGUACUAAUUCUCCGUACUAAAAUAUUUAAGGGAUACUAUUCUUAAAUGUCUAGAUGUAAGACGAUUUAGGAAUUCUGAAACAUAUACUUAACGCCGAUUAUAUUGUAAUUUUAUUGCUGUGGUCCUGACCGGAAUAAGUUUUACACCUUUAAUCAUUUAUAUCAGUAAGUGAUAAUUUAAAAGUAAUAUCUUGGUAUAUGAUCAUAUGAACUUUUAAUAAUUCUGCUCAAUAUGGAAACGUUUUACAAAAAUAAAGUGUUAUUUUUGGUGUACAUGUAUGUGAAUGUCAUGCUCGUAAAUUUUUCAAGUUAUAUAUAAACUGUAUUCACGUCGCCAGAGUCCUCGGGUGGGGAAUCCUCUCUUUUAGCCUUAGAGUGGCUUUGGGGUCCACUCUUUCAGCUUAAGAUCGGAUUUGUGGCAGAUUUUUCUCCCCACCUUUGCUAUUCUUUGUCAUUUAUUCAAUUGAUAUGAUAUUAGUUGAUGUAAUUUCGUAUUAAUUAUGUUUUAUUAUUUCAUAUUAAAUAUAAACUUUUAUGUCAAAUGUUUUAUUUGCAAAAUGUAUUAUUUGCAUUUUAUGAUUUUGAAUAAAUGACCUUUUUUCGUCAGUUUAGUUUUUUUAUCAUAUAGCAAAUCAAGCUCAGACUCUGGCAUGUGUAUAUAGAGUAUGUUUAUGGUAUCUAGCUGUCUGUCUUCAAACCAAUUUUAUUUGCUAAUUGAAAAUUAAGCUGAAUAAAAUAAUUUAAGACAGCAGAGAAAAUAAUUCUGUUUUAAUUGUUUAUUACUAAGACUUAAAUAAAGAGUGAACUAUUUAUACUGUAAAUUUAUGAUGUCUCUAGUCUGGUCAAAGGGUCAGAGUGUCCUACUUAAUCAAAAGAUAAAUUGUUGAAAUUAGAUAACAUGUUUUCACGUUCAGAGAAAUUUCACUUAUGACCAGUGCAUGAUUGGAUUACAUCUUUCUUAUUGGUCACUGAUCUUUCGUGGUCAGCACGAGUUCACGUGUAAGUGCGUUGUGGUCACUUCCUUUUAUCAUCAGCAUUUGAUGUGUUAACUUGUGAUUCUUAUCAAACAAUUUGUUAAAAAUUCCCACCCACAUAAAUCCCUUAAUUUUAUCUUUUGAAGUAGAUAUGUAUAUAUGUUUAUUUGUGGGGCAGAUUUUUCUCCCCACCUUUGCUAUUCUUUGUCAUUUAUUCAAUUGAUAUGAUAUUAGUUGAUGUAAUUUCGUAAUAAUUAUGUUUUAUUAUUUCAUAUUAGAUAUGAACUUUUAUGUCAAAUGUUUUAUUUGCAAAAUGUAUUUUUUACAUUUUAUGAUUUUGAAUAAAUGACCUUUUUUCGUCA